Molecule: unclassified non-coding RNA, 374 nt
Filed under: uncultured bacterium
Lineage: Bacteria
Description: contains 16S-23S intergenic spacer region
Source: RNAcentral
UCCGGUUUGUCACCGGCAGUCCCAUUAGAGUGCCCAACUGAAUGUAGCAACUAAUGACAAGGGUUGCGCUCGUUGCGGGACUUAACCCAACAUCUCACGACGCGAGCUGACGACAGCCAUGCAGCACCUCGACUCUAGUCCCGAAGGAACCCGCCAUCUCUGGCGGUAGCACGGCAUGUCAAGGGCUGGUAAGGUUCUUCGCGUUGCGUCGAAUUAAACCACAUGCUCCACCGCUUGUGCGGGCCCCCGUCAAUUCCUUUGAGUUUUAGCCUUGCGGCCGUACUCCCCAGGCGGGUCACUUAAUGCGUUAGCUCCGGCACGGAGGGAGUCGACACCCCCCACACCUAGUGACCAUCGUUUACGGCGUGGACUAC